This 253-nucleotide ribosomal RNA is filed under the name uncultured bacterium. RNAcentral's name for it is "partial 16S ribosomal RNA". It matches the Rfam family "Bacterial small subunit ribosomal RNA", at positions 524 to 776 of the family's 1533-position model. The record is from RNAcentral.
GACGAACCGUGCGAACGUUGUUCGGAAUUACUGGGCGUAAAGGGCUCGUAGGCGGCCAACUAAGUCAGACGUGAAAUCCCCAGGCUCAACCUGGGAACUGCGUCUGAUACUGGAUGGCUUGAAUCCGGGAGAGGGAUGCAGAAUUCCAGGUGUAGCGGUGAAAUGCGUAGAUAUCUGGAGGAAUACCGGUGGCGAAGGCGGCAUCCUGGACCGGCAUUGACGCUGAGGAGCGAAAGCCAGGGGAGCAAACGGG